This 230-nucleotide ribosomal RNA is filed under the name uncultured microorganism. Its description in RNAcentral is "partial 16S ribosomal RNA". It matches the Rfam family "Bacterial small subunit ribosomal RNA", at positions 524 to 753 of the family's 1533-position model. The record is from RNAcentral.
UACGGAGGGUGCAAGCGUUAAUCGGAAUCACUGGGCGUAAAGCGCGCGUAGGCGGCUUUGUAAGUCAGGGGUGAAAUCCCACCGCUCACCGGUGGAACUGCCCUUGAUACUGCAUUGCUUGAGUGAGUGAGAGGAUAGUGGAAUUCCUGGUGUAGGAGUGAAAUCCGUAGAGAUCAGGAGGAACAUCAGUGGCGAAGGCGACUAUCUGGCACUAUACUGACGCUGAGGUG